Molecule: long non-coding RNA, 862 nt
Filed under: Androctonus crassicauda
Lineage: Eukaryota; Metazoa; Arthropoda; Arachnida; Scorpiones; Buthidae
Source: RNAcentral
CCCCUUGCCCCAGCAAGGCAAUUGCACUUGAGAGGAUUAUUAUUAUUAUUAUUAUUAUUAUUAUUAUUAUUUAAAGAGAUAGUGGGUUUUGCUCUUUGAAGAAUGAACGAAAUGAAAAGAAUAUAGAAAAGCAUGAGGGAAAAUGAUAAAGAUUCUGCCAGAAAUAUGACAGUUCACUGGCAGAAGCAAGCGGGUACCAAGGAUUAGGUAAAAUGGAUACGAAUCUCCGCCGAUUUUUAAAACUCCGUUUCCUGCAACCACUAGAUGGCAUUAGUGUUCGUGAAAAGAUGGCGUCCGGUGGUCACUGCUGUUGUACUGCUUCUUUUUGCAGCAAUUAUAAGAAGAAAACGCCGCAAAUAUCAUUCUUCCGAUUUCCCAGAGAUGCUGAAAGGUAUGUAUGUGUAAUAAUAGCAUAAUAGUAUUGUAAUCAUCUGCCAUCUUAUGCGUUCUUCGAAUGUAGAAUUUAAUGAAAUAGCCAACGAACAAAUAUUGUUCAAAAGGCUUUAUGGCGUGUAAUAAAACUGAUUCUAUAAAUUAACGAGAAAGUCAUUUUAAAAAUUAAUAUUUUUAAAGGUACAAAUGUAGAUUUGUUAAAUUUUAAAAAUUUUCUGCUAAUUUUUAUAGAUGUAUGGAAUGGCUUAAAUUUGUCGAGAGAGAAGAAUUAAAAGAACUAACACCCGAAAUUUUAAAUAAAAGAUAUACCAUUUGCGCCGAACAUUUUGAAGAGAUUGGAAAUAUGCCCAAAAUUAAUGUCAUCAUUGUAUCAGAGUUUAUGUAUACAAUAAACGUAUAUUGUUCUUAAUACAAAAAUGUAUUCAAAUGUAUUUAGAAAAAAUUUUUUAAUAAAAUUAUUUUAUUCCUA